GAUGAAGAACGCAGCGAAAUGCGAUAAGUAAUGUGAAUUGCAGAAUUCAGUGAAUCAUCGAAUCUUUGAACGCACCUUGCGCCCCUUGGUUAUUCCAAAGGGCAUGCCUGUUUGAGUAUCAUGAACACCUCAACUCUUGUGGUUUCCCACAAUGAGCUUGGACUGUGGAGGUUUUGUUGGCCCUGUGGUCAGCUCCUCUCAAAUGGAUCAGCUUACCGGUGUUUGGUGGCAUUACGGGUGUGAUAACUAUCUACGCUCGUGGUCGUCUCCAAAUAACCUCCAGUGAUGGGGGUUCGCUGGAGCUUAUAAAUGUCUCUCCCCAGCGAAGACAGCCUUUGAACGUUCGAUCUCAAAUCAGGUACGACUACCCGCUGAACUUAAGCAUAUCAAUAAGCGGAGGA
Molecule: unclassified non-coding RNA, 401 nt
Filed under: soil metagenome
Description: partial contains 5.8S ribosomal RNA, internal transcribed spacer 2, and large subunit ribosomal RNA
Rfam family: 5.8S ribosomal RNA (bases 1-121)
Source: RNAcentral